GCUGGUGGUCUUAGCGCAGAGGAUACACCCGUUCCCAUCCCGAACACGGUCGUUAAGCUCUGCCGCGCGGAUGGUACUGCCGAGGNGACUUGGUGGGAGAGUACGUCGCUGCCAGCA
This 117-nucleotide ribosomal RNA is filed under the name Gemmatimonadota bacterium. Lineage: Bacteria; Pseudomonadati; Gemmatimonadota. The record is from RNAcentral.